This 76-nucleotide transfer RNA is filed under the name Candidatus Kentrum eta. Its description in RNAcentral is "Candidatus Kentron sp. H tRNA_Ala_TGC". It matches the Rfam family "tRNA". Rfam says of the family: Transfer RNA (tRNA) molecules are approximately 80 nucleotides in length. Their secondary structure includes four short double-helical elements and three loops (D, anti-codon, and T loops). Further hydrogen bonds mediate the characteristic L-shaped molecular structure. tRNAs have two regions of fundamental functional importance: the anti-codon, which is responsible for specific mRNA codon recognition, and the 3' end, to which the tRNAs corresponding amino acid is attached (by aminoacyl-tRNA synthetases). tRNAs cope with the degeneracy of the genetic code in two manners: having more than one tRNA (with a specific anti-codon) for a particular amino acid; and 'wobble' base-pairing, i.e. permitting non-standard base-pairing at the 3rd anti-codon position. Lineage: Bacteria; Pseudomonadati; Pseudomonadota; Gammaproteobacteria. The record is from RNAcentral.
GGGGCCAUAGCUCAGCUGGGAGAGCAUCUGCUUUGCAAGCAGGAGGUCGGCGGUUCGAUCCCGCCUGGUUCCACCA